RNAcentral lists this ribosomal RNA (253 nucleotides) under uncultured bacterium. Its description in RNAcentral is "partial 16S ribosomal RNA". It matches the Rfam family "Bacterial small subunit ribosomal RNA", at positions 524 to 776 of the family's 1533-position model. The record is from RNAcentral.
UACGUAGGGUGCGAGCGUUAAUCGGAAUUACUGGGCGUAAAGCGUGCGCAGGCGGUUCGCUGUGUCCUGUGUGAAAGCCCCGGGCUUAACCUGGGAAUGGCAUGGGAAACUGGCGGGCUGGAGUGCGGCAGGGGAGACUGGAAUUCCUGGUGUAGCGGUGGAAUGCGCAGAUAUCAGGAGGAACACCGGUGGCGAAGGCGGGUCUCUGGGCCGUUACUGACGCUGAGGAGCGAAAGCGUGGGGAGCGAACAGG